AUGGUCACGCCACGUUGAAACAUCAGUUCCCAUACGAUCACCGGAACUAAGCAACGUUGAGCUUAGCCAUUACCUAGAUGGGUGACCAUUUGGGAAUACCAUGUGCUGUAU
Acanthosepion pharaonis is the source of this 111-nucleotide non-coding RNA. NCBI's taxonomy places the organism in Eukaryota, Metazoa, Mollusca, Cephalopoda, Sepiida, Sepiidae. The record is from the annotation of a GenBank genome assembly.